Molecule: ribosomal RNA, 301 nt
Filed under: uncultured bacterium
Lineage: Bacteria
Description: partial 16S ribosomal RNA
Rfam family: Bacterial small subunit ribosomal RNA
Source: RNAcentral
CAGUAGCCACGGUAACACGGAGGGUGCAAGCGUUGUCCGGAUUUAUUGGGUUUAAAGGGUGCGUAGGCGGCUAUUUAAGUCAGCGGUGAAAGACUCCGGCUCAACCGGAGCAGUGCCAUUGAUACUGGAUAGCUUGAGUGUUGGAGGGGUACAUGGAAUUGAUGGUGUAGCGGUGAAAUGCAUAGAUACCAUCAGGAACACCGAUAGCGAAGGCAUUGUACUGGCCAACAACUGACGCUGAGGCACGAAAGCAUGGGGAGCGAACAGGAUUAGAUACCCCCGUAGUCCCUGUCUCUUAUAA